This 722-nucleotide ribosomal RNA is filed under the name uncultured bacterium. RNAcentral's name for it is "bacterial SSU rRNA". It matches the Rfam family "Bacterial small subunit ribosomal RNA", at positions 49 to 767 of the family's 1533-position model. The record is from RNAcentral.
GAAUACAUGCAAGUCGAGGGGCAGCACGAGUAGCAAUACUUGGUGGCGACCGGCGCACGGGUGCGUAACACGUAUACAAUCUGCCUUUAACAGGGGAAUAGCCCGGAGAAAUUCGGAUUAAUGCCCCAUAACAUAAGAAGUAGCAUUACUUUUUAUUGAAAGCUCCGGCGGUUAGAGAUGAGUAUGCGUCUGAUUAGCUAGUUGGUGAGGUAACGGCUCACCAAGGCGACGAUCAGUAGGGGAUCUGAGAGGACUACCCCCCACACUGGUACUGAGACACGGACCAGACUCCUACGGGAGGCAGCAGUAAGGAAUAUUGGUCAAUGGGGGCAACCCUGAACCAGCCAUGCCGCGUGCAGGAUGAAGGCGCUAUGCGUCGUAAACUGCUUUUGUACAAGAGAAAACCACUUUACGUGUAGAGUGUUGAUAGUAUUGUAAGAAUAAGGAUCGGCUAACUUCGUGCCAGCAGCCGCGGUAAGACGAAGGAUCCAAGCGUUAUCCGGAUUCAUUGGGUUUAAAGGGAGCGUAGGCGGGUUUAUAAGUCAGUGGUGAAAUCCUAUCGCUUAACGAUGGAACUGCCAUUGAUACUGUAGACCUAGAGUACAGAUGAUGUUGGCGGAAUAUGACAUGUAGCGGUGAAAUGCAUAGAUAUGUCAUAGAACACCGAUUGCGAAGGCAGCUGACAAAACUGUAACUGACGCUGAGGCUCGAAAGUGCGGGGA